RNAcentral lists this ribosomal RNA (311 nucleotides) under uncultured Pseudomonadota bacterium. RNAcentral's name for it is "bacterial SSU rRNA". It matches the Rfam family "Bacterial small subunit ribosomal RNA", at positions 146 to 490 of the family's 1533-position model. Lineage: Bacteria; Pseudomonadati; Pseudomonadota. The record is from RNAcentral.
ACACGAGGAAACUUGUGCUAAUACCGGAUAAGUCUUUACGGAGAAAGCUUUAUGCACCAUUGGAUGAGCCUGCACUUGAUUAGUUUGUUGGUGGGGUAAUGGCCUACCAAGACUGUGAUCAAUAGCUGAUUUGAGAGGAUGAUCAGCCACAUUGGGACUGAGACACGGCCCAAACUCCUACGGGAGGCAGCAGUGGGGAAUCUUGCACAAUGGAGGAAACUCUGAUGCAGCGAUGCCGCGUGAGUGAAGAAGGCCUUUGGGUUGUAAAGCUCUUUCGUCGGGGAAGAAAAUGACUGUACCCGAAUAAGAAG